RNAcentral lists this non-coding RNA (29 nucleotides) under Mus musculus (house mouse). The record is from RNAcentral. Lineage: Eukaryota; Metazoa; Chordata; Mammalia; Rodentia; Muridae.
UNUUAAGAAGGACCAAGGGAACAAGAUAG